Molecule: ribosomal RNA, 472 nt
Filed under: uncultured organism
Description: partial 16S ribosomal RNA
Rfam family: Bacterial small subunit ribosomal RNA
Source: RNAcentral
UACACUCCUGCGGGAGGCAGCAGUGGGGAAUUUUGGACAAUGGGCGAAAGCCUGAUCCAGCAAUGCCGCGUGAGUGAAGAAGGCCUUCGGGUUGUAAAGCUCUUUUGUCAGGGAAGAAACGGUGAAAGCUAAUAUCUUUUGCUAAUGACGGUACCUGAAGAAUAAGCACCGGCUAACUACGUGCCAGCAGCCGCGGUAAUACGUAGGGUGCAAGCGUUAAUCGGAAUUACUGGGCGUAAAGCGUGCGCAGGCGGUUUUGUAAGUCUGAUGUGAAAUCCCCGGGCUCAACCUGGGAAUUGCAUUGGAGACUGCAAGGCUAGAAUCUGGCAGAGGGGGGUAGAAUUCCACGUGUAGCAGUGAAAUGCGUAGAUAUGUGGAGGAACACCGAUGGCGAAGGCAGCCCCCUGGGUCAAGAUUGACGCUCAUGCACGAAAGCGUGGGGAGCAAACAGGAUUAGAAACCCGGGUAGUCC